AUACAAAAAGGGCAGGACCUGAGAAAGAUUAAGCUGCAGGCUCCCUGCCCAUAAAACAGGGUGUGAAAGGCAUCUCAGCGGCUGCCCCACCAUGGCUACCUGGGCCCUCCUGCUCCUUGCAGCCACGCUCCUGGGCAACCCAGCCCCUGCCUCCGCAUCUGCGUGGUGAAGGCCAUUGGCCCUCAUCAGUGGAUCUGCGUUUCCUCGGGCCUACACUGUCUAGGAUUGUGCAGGGCUGGUGAGAGAACAAGAUCUCUUCCGUGUUCAAGGCAGACUUCCCGCCCCCCGCACUCUGCUCUCUCCCAGGCCUUGGGGUCUGGUCUUCUCUCGUCUGAGCCCUGAGUACUACGACCUGGCAAGAGCCCACCUGCGUGAUGAGGAGAAAUCCUGCCCGUGCCUGGCCCAGGAGGGCCCCCAGGGUGACCUGUUGACCAAAACACAGGAGCUGGGCCGUAACUACAGGACCUGUCUGAUGAUAAUCCAAAGACUGAAGGAUAUGGUGGAGGAUCAGCCCACCCAGGUGAGGCCAAGGGGCUACAGAGCCUCCUGUCUGCUGCUCAAUGGAGGGGCCAGCCUGUGACCAGGUCGGGGAUCGGGGAGCCCGGGGGCACCUUGCACAGUGAUCCUGGGGGAGGGCUUCCGAGAAGGGAAUCUGUGAGUCCCCGUGUGUCUGUGGAUGAAUUUCAGAGAACUUGUGAAAUUGUGACUCUCUGGAACUGUGUAAGUCAGACGGCAGAGUAUACAUGGUUUUCAUCAUGUAUCCUCAAAGAGGGCUUGUCCCAGAGAAGUUAGGAAUCUUCCCCUAAAGCCCUAACGUUUGUGUCCAAGGCAGAGUUUGAGAAGCUAGUUCCCCAAGAGGCCUGGGUCAGGACUGAUAAAUCCCAGAUCUGCUACUUCCAAGCUGCAUGGCCUUGGGCAAGUCACUUCCACUUUCUGAGCCUCUGUUAUCUUAUCUUUG
RNAcentral lists this small RNA (958 nucleotides) under Pan troglodytes (chimpanzee). RNAcentral's name for it is "retained intron". Lineage: Eukaryota; Metazoa; Chordata; Mammalia; Primates; Hominidae. The record is from RNAcentral.